GUCCUUGUCGAUUAGUGGUUAAAUCAUCACGUUGUGGCCGUGAGGCCGGAAGUUCGAAUCCUCCCAAGGACA
RNAcentral lists this transfer RNA (72 nucleotides) under Serpula lacrymans var. lacrymans S7.9. RNAcentral describes it as "tRNA-His (GTG) (tRNA-His-GTG-2-1)". It matches the Rfam family "tRNA". Rfam says of the family: Transfer RNA (tRNA) molecules are approximately 80 nucleotides in length. Their secondary structure includes four short double-helical elements and three loops (D, anti-codon, and T loops). The record is from RNAcentral. RNAcentral also lists the same sequence under 1 other name. Lineage: Eukaryota; Fungi; Basidiomycota; Agaricomycetes; Boletales; Serpulaceae.